This 465-nucleotide ribosomal RNA is filed under the name uncultured bacterium. RNAcentral describes it as "partial 16S ribosomal RNA". It matches the Rfam family "Bacterial small subunit ribosomal RNA", at positions 28 to 507 of the family's 1533-position model. The record is from RNAcentral.
GACGAACGCUGGCGGCGUGCUUAACACAUGCAAGUCGUACGGUAAGGCCCUUUCGGGGGUCCACGAGUGGCGAACUGGUGAGUAACACGUGAGUAACCUGCCCACAACUUUGGGAUAACGCUAGGAAACUGGUGCUAAUACUGGAUAUGUGCUCCUGCUGCAUGGUGGGGGUUGGAAAGCUCCGGCGGUUGUGGAUGGACUCGCGGCCUAUCAGCUUGUUGGUGGGGUAGUGGCCUACCAAGGCGGCGACGGGUAGCCGGCCUGAGAGGGUGACCGGCCACAUUGGGACUGAGAUACGGCCCAGACUCCUACGGGAGGCAGCAGUGGGGAAUAUUGCACAAUGGGCGCAAGCCUGAUGCAGCAACGCCGCGUGCGGGAUGACGGCCUUCGGGUUGUAAACCGCUUUCAGCAGGGACGAAGCUUUUUGUGACGGUACCUGCAGAAGAAGCACCGGCUAACUACGUG